This 438-nucleotide ribosomal RNA is filed under the name Triticum aestivum (bread wheat). RNAcentral describes it as "partial small subunit ribosomal RNA". Lineage: Eukaryota; Viridiplantae; Streptophyta; Magnoliopsida; Poales; Poaceae. The record is from RNAcentral.
AUGAAUCUGGUGUGGGUUUGGGGAUUCUGUUCUGACGGUCCACACAAGAUAUUGGUUUUAGAGUAUAUUGAGAAUGGUUCCUUGGAUAAAACUCUGUUUAGUAGGAAGGGCUCACAGGUAUUACUUAAAUGGAAUGAAAGAUUUAAGAUUGCUCUAGGGGUGGCAAAAGGAUUGGCUUAUCUUCAUCAUGAGUGCCUGGAAUGGAUCACCGACUUUGGCCUUGCAAAACUUCUGAAUAGGGGUGGAUUGAUGCGGAGCAUCCUACGAUCAUCUCCAUGUACACUCGAACAUACGCCAUUGGACACAAGAGGUUAUAUAGCUCCUGAGUGGGUUUCUAGCCUCCCAAUAACAGCAAAGGUUGAUGAAGAAGUGGAAAUGUUGAUGAAGAAGUGGAAAUGGUCCUUCGAAGGGUCAUUAGGAUGCUUGCAGAAAAUCUGA